GAUGAACGCUGGCGGCGUGCCUAAUACAUGCAAGUCGAGCGAACAGACGAGGAGCUUGCUCCUCUGACGUUAGCGGCGGACGGGUGAGUAACACGUGGAUAACCUACCUAUAAGACUGGGAUAACUUCGGGAAACCGGAGCUAAUACCGGAUAAUAUAUUGAACCGCAUGGUUCAAUAGUGAAAGACGGUUUUGCUGUCACUUAUAGAUGGAUCCGCGCCGCAUUAGCUAGUUGGUAAGGUAACGGCUUACCAAGGCAACGAUGCGUAGCCGACCUGAGAGGUUGAUCGGCCACUGUGGAGCGAGGACACGUUCCAGACACCUACGGGAGGCAGAAGUAGGGAAUCUGCGGCAAUGGGCGAAAGCCUGACGGAGCAACGCGGCGUGAGUGAUGAAGGUCUGCGGAUCGUAAAACUCUGUUAUUAGGGAAGAACAAAUGUGUAAGUAACUAUGCACGUCUUGACGGUACCGAAUCAGAAGGCCACGGCUAACUACGU
RNAcentral lists this ribosomal RNA (496 nucleotides) under uncultured bacterium. RNAcentral's name for it is "partial 16S ribosomal RNA". It matches the Rfam family "Bacterial small subunit ribosomal RNA", at positions 28 to 506 of the family's 1533-position model. The record is from RNAcentral.